This 605-nucleotide long non-coding RNA is filed under the name Lactuca sativa (garden lettuce). Its description in RNAcentral is "long non-coding RNA (LSAT_LNC003971)". The record is from RNAcentral. Lineage: Eukaryota; Viridiplantae; Streptophyta; Magnoliopsida; Asterales; Asteraceae.
UUUGAUCAUCAAUGGGACCAACCCUAGAAUUUUGAUCUCUUUUGAUUUCAGAACCGAACCUUUGCUUUCGGUUGAUGUAGUUCUCUGAACCGAACUUCUGCUUUCGGUUGGAGUCAUUCUCAGAACUGAACCUUUGCUUUCGGUUGGAAUCAUUCUCUGAACCGAACCUUUGCUUUCGGUUGAGGUUUUUCUCCGAACCGAACCUCUGCUUUCGGUUGUUGUUGCUCUCUUGCGAUUUAACAGGACAUUUCUCUGACUUUAAGUUCUUGUCUUGAUGUGAGAAAUAGGCAUUCUGAGAUUGCCAAAACUGUUUUCUUUCAGAGAGAUUCUUCCUGUAUCUCUGAUUCCUUUGCUGUUUUUGACUUCUCAUCUGCUUCGGUUGAUGAUGGAUAUUAGCUUUCGGUUUCUGUUUUUCUUUGGUUGGUUCACUCUGAACUGAUGAUGUUUCGCUUGGUGGAGUGUCUUCUUUUGUAGGAAUUUCUUUUUCCUGAGGAACAUCCUUUGUACCACUAGUACUUGGCACAUCGAAGCUAUCAGGUUUAUUCAAAGGUUCUGGCACAUAUCUGCCUUUUCUUUUCCAUGAAGUUCUUUCAGACAAACCCACU